This 460-nucleotide ribosomal RNA is filed under the name uncultured bacterium. RNAcentral's name for it is "partial 16S ribosomal RNA". It matches the Rfam family "Bacterial small subunit ribosomal RNA", at positions 338 to 795 of the family's 1533-position model. The record is from RNAcentral.
CCUACGGGGGGCAGCAGUGAGGAAUAUUGGUCAAUGGGCGCGAGCCUGAACCAGCCAAGUAGCGUGAAGGAUGACUGCCCUACGGGUUGUAAACUUCUUUUAUAAAGGAAUAAAGUGAGGCACGUGUGCCUUUUUGUAUGUACUUUAUGAAUAAGGAUCGGCUAACUCCGUGCCAGCAGCCGCGGUAAUACGGAGGAUCCGAGCGUUAUCCGGAUUUAUUGGGUUUAAAGGGUGCGUAGGUGGGUUGGUAAGUCAGUUGUUAAAGUUUGCGGCUCAACCCUAAAAUUGCAAUUGAUACUGGCAGCCUUGAGUACAGUUGAGGUAGGCGGAAUUCGUGGUGUAGCGGUGAAAUGCUUAGAGAUCACGAAGAACUCCGAUUGCGAAGGCAGCUUACUAAACUGCCACUGACAUUGAGGCUCGAAAGUGUGGGGAGCAAACAGGAUUAGAUACCCGAGUAGUC